Equus quagga is the source of this 510-nucleotide long non-coding RNA. RefSeq lists it as uncharacterized. The record is from RefSeq and is a predicted model, not a curated record. The transcript has 3 exons. Lineage: Eukaryota; Metazoa; Chordata; Mammalia; Perissodactyla; Equidae.
CUCUCCCGGCCAAACUUCAAUCCCGGUGUGACAGAGGCUGCCCCUCUCGCAGAUCCGGGUUGUUGCUCCGAGACCCAGACUUUGCAGGACCACUGGCUGGUACCUCCCCGGACAGGCCUGGCGCCUAACAGAUCCUUACAGCUAGUGGAUGCUCAAGAUGCUAUGGGUGAUGAGCCAACGUCUACAGCCUCCUCCAAGACAAGCAUUUCGGUCCUGGCCUCUGGGGAUCUGUUUUUGAAGCAGGAGGUCAUUUCGUACUUAUUGUGGGCUCUGCAGUUGUCAAGUAAAAACAAGGGCCCAACCCAGGCCUUGGCUUCCAGGAGGCACUCAGCAUGUGUCGUGUGAAUGAAGUGACAGUCCUUCCUGUAAGAGUCUGCUUUCCUGAGUGGCUGGCAGUCAGUCAUCCAGCAUCAGAGUCCCUCACCAACACGAACACUCAAGCCGGAGGAAGGGAUUUCGAUAAAUGAGAAGCCCGAUUUUCAGAACCCCAAACCAAACUGCCUUCAAGCA